This 2651-nucleotide long non-coding RNA is filed under the name Aotus nancymaae (Ma's night monkey). RNAcentral's name for it is "lncRNA (ENSANAG00000039469.1)". Lineage: Eukaryota; Metazoa; Chordata; Mammalia; Primates; Aotidae. The record is from RNAcentral.
CAAUAUUUUCAUGAAUUGGCGUUUGAUGAUGUGUGUUAAAACUCAAUACCAAAUGCAGUGUCACGUAGAUUUUCUUUUAGAUUUUUUAUAGUUUUGCAUUUCAAAUUACAGUCUCUGGACUAUUUUGAGUAGGUUUUUGUUUUUUAAUUUGUGUAUAUAUUCAUUUCAUUUUACACGGCUUCCAAAGUCGUCCAUCACCAUUUUGGGAAGGAUAUGGCUACAGUGCGCUUCAUUUUGGUUUGAAUUUCCAAAAUUAUUACAUUGAACAAACUGAAUAUUGAAUUUUAUAGGUAUUUUAGGACAGCCAGGAGUGGGUGCACAUCCGCUGAGAAACUGUGAGGAAAAGCAUCUGUGCUGAGCUCUGGCACCACAGAGGUCGCACAAACCCACCCCUGACCAGCUUCGCUCUGAGGUGCCAGAAGCAGCGAGGAGCUUCGACUUCCUCAGGGCAGCACGAGGGUUGUGUCAACUAAGUCUUGUUCAUUGCUACCAGGAAGGAUGCAUCAUGAUACACAGUGCCACCUUUGCCUGGUUCCAGGAAAGCCCUCCCUGCCUCCACAGGAGGCCUGGGUGCAGAACACCUCUGUGGUGGAGAAAGUAUGCCUCGGGCAGGAGCUGGACCCAGCCUGGCUGGAGAGAGUCCUAGAGGCCUGUGCCCUGCGGCGACAUGUGGACAGCUUCCCUGCGGGAGUCCACACUUCAACUGGGGAGCAGUCAGAAGACAUCGUCAGCUAAGUAGCAAAAGUAAUAUGAUCAUCAUUGCUUGAACAUUUACAUCAAAACUUGUGGAAUGGGUGUUAGAGGCAUGGAAGAAAAUUCUGGAGAAAAUAGUGGUGCACUCUUAAUAAAGGCUGAACAACAGUUGAUGAUACAGGAAACAGUACUGCAUGAAGAAGGGUGGACAUGGAUGACUCUUAGUCAAAAAAUGACUCAGGUAAGUCAAACUGAAUUCAAGGAAGGUUGAUGAAUAAUUUAGCCAAUUCACUUUUCCCUAGUUUGAUUGAGGAAUAAUUUACAUUCAAUAAAAUUUACCUAUUUUAAGUGUAACAUUUAGUAAGCUUUGGAAUUUACAUACAGUUAUGUAUCUGUGACCAUGAUCAAGAUAUAGAACAUUGCCAGAAGUUCCUCAUGGCCCUUUGCAGUGAGUGCCUUCUUCCAAUUCUCAAGUCUAGGCAACCAUGUAUCUAGUUUCAGUCACUAUGGUUUUACCUUUUCCAGAAUUUAGUAUUGGUGAAAUAAUAUAGUAUAUAGUCUUUUGUGUUUGUCACAAUCUUCCGUUUGUUUGAGUAAUUACCUAGAUUGUUGUAUUGUAAGUAUAUGUCUAACUUUAUGAGACAAUGUCAAAUUAUUUUCUAUAUGGUGUGAUAUGUUGAUCAAGAUUAGCUUUUUAAAAAUAUGGAUUUAGAAUUAUCCCAGCAGUAUUUGUAAAAAACUAUCCUUUCUCCAUUUGAUUAUAUUAAAAUUUUUGGUUCUACAUCUGGACUGUCUCUGAUUUAUGUGUCUGCAUUUUUUUUUAUCAGCAGUACACCAUCUUAAUUACUGUAGUAUUGAAAUUGGGUAUUGUGAAUUCUUCAACAUUGCUAUUAUAAUUCUUUCUCAAAAUUCUUUCUUUUUUUUUUUUUGAGACAGUCUUGUUCUGUCGCCAGGCGCCAGGCUGGAGUGACAGUCUCGGCUCACUGCAACCUCCGCCUCUUGGGUUCAAGCAAUUCUCCUGCCUCAGCCUCCCGAGUAACUGGGACUACAGGUGCACGCCACCACACCCAGCUAAUUUUUGUAUUUUUAGUAGAGACGGGGUUUCACCAUGUUGGCCAGGAUCUCCAUCUCUUGACCUGGUGAUAUGCCCACCUCGGCCUCCCAAAGUGCUGGGAUUACAGGCGUGAGCCACUAUGCCCGGCCUUCUCAAAAUUCUUUUGGCUAGUCUUAGUCUAUUGACUUUCCAUCUGAUUUUGGAAUCAGCUGAUAAAUUUCUACAAAAAUCUAUAUUUUUUAUAACAGAGUACAAAUAGAGUUUGUAUAUUUUUUAUAAGAGUAUAAAUGGAGUUUGUAUAUUUUUAGAGUUUGUAUAUUUUUUAUAACGGAACACAAAUAGAGUUUGUGUAUUUUUUAUAACAGAGUACAAAUAGAGUGUGUAUAUUUUUAAUAACAGAGUACAAAUAUAUAUAGUUCGUAUAUUUUUUUAACAGUAUUUUGAGUUUGUAUACUUCUUAUAACAGUACAAAUAGAGUUUGUAUAUUUCUUAUUACAGAGUAGUUUGAGAUUUUAUAUGUUUUUUAUAACAGUACAAAUGAAAUCCUACAGACCAAAAUCCACUUUUCAGCAGGAGCAGCAGCCCAGCACCAGCGUCUUCUGGCUCCUCUGAGGGCUGCCCGCUUGGGCGAGGGGAGCCAUGCCAAGGGUCCAGGCUGCUUUAGGCCAUCUGGGCCCCACUCAUCAGGGGACAGAUGUUUUUUCUUUAUUGUAAAAUUGUGGACUUUUAAAACCUGUUGACUAAACAAUAAUUAAUUUAUAUUUGUGAAAAAUGCCACUGUCCUAGUGAUUUCUGAUGUAAAUAAUGUUUAUAUAGUAUGCAUUAAAUUUUCCUACAUUGUAAAACUGCUGUACUUUUGAUUCUUGUAUAUUGAAAAGUGUUACUGAGGAUUUUUAGAAUUGGG